UGGGGAAUCUUGCACAAUGGGGGCAACCCUGAUGCAGCGACGCCGCGUGAGCGAUGAAGCCCUUCGGGGCGUAAAGCUCUUUCGACCGGAACGAUAAUGACGGUACCGGGAGAAGAAGCUGCGGCUAACUACGUGCCAGCAGCCGCGGUAAUACGUAGGCAGCAAGCGGUGUUCGGCGUUACUGGGCGUAAAGAGUGCGUAGGCGGUUUUCUAAGUUCGGUGUGAAAUCUCCCGGCUUAACGGGGAGGGUGCGCCGAAGACUGGGAAGCUGGAGUGUGGGAAAGGCAGGCGGAAUUCCUGGUGUCGCGGUGAAAUGCGUAGAUAUCAGGAGGAACACCGGCGGUGUAGACGGCUUGCUAGACCAUAACUGACGCUGAGGCACGAAAGCGUGGGUAGCAAACA
Molecule: ribosomal RNA, 402 nt
Filed under: uncultured bacterium
Lineage: Bacteria
Description: bacterial SSU rRNA
Rfam family: Bacterial small subunit ribosomal RNA
Source: RNAcentral